This 253-nucleotide ribosomal RNA is filed under the name uncultured bacterium. RNAcentral's name for it is "partial 16S ribosomal RNA". It matches the Rfam family "Bacterial small subunit ribosomal RNA", at positions 524 to 776 of the family's 1533-position model. The record is from RNAcentral.
UACGAAGGGGGCUAGCGUUGCUCGGAAUCACUGGGCGUAAAGCGCACGUAGGCGGAUCUUUAAGUCAGGGGUGAAAUCCUGGAGCUCAACUCCAGAACUGCCUUUGAUACUGGGGAUCUCGAGUCCGGAAGAGGUGAGUGGAACUCCGAGUGUAGAGGUGAAAUUCGUAGAUAUUCGGAGGAACACCAGUGGCGAAGGCGGCUCACUGGUCCGGUACUGACGCUGAGGUGCGAAAGCGUGGGGAGCAAACAGG